CAGCUCGUCGGAAGGGCUCUCCCGGAUCCACUGGCCGCAGGGUUGAGGCUGCUCUGCUCGGGGACCCGUCUCCCCCACAACAGGGCAUAAAAACAAGACACAAACCCCAAAUCAACAGAGGAAAAACCUCCCCGCUAACAUCCGAGACACAGCACCUCCCCUUCUCUGGCACCGGCCUCCCGAAAGUAAUUGAAUCGUGUUGGACCGCAAAGUGCGAGUGAAAAAGGGGGGGAGUAUCUGCAUUUUUUUUCUCCUUUUUUUGUCUUUGUUUUGUACUGUUUGCGGUGUUUGGGGUGUUUCUAUGUCCUGCUGGGUUUUGCCUCGUUCUUUUUGCCCCUCUCUUGCUGUAAGGAGAGCCCGGGAAGACACCGAGGACAGCGAAGGCGAGGUGCACCCACACCAACCUGAAUCUCUCUCCUCCGAAAACACCGGCUCCGGGAGCUCAGCCUGGGCAGAGGACGGGGUGGGGGAUGCUCCUCCCGCCUCCGCCGGGGAGCGAGCCCAGCCCGCAGCCGCGCAUCCUCCGCGGGGCGUCUGUCUGUCUGUCCGUGUCCCGCAUGGCGCGGAGCGAAGCGCCGCCUCUGCCGGCCCUGGGGCCGCCCGAGCUGCAAGUGGCCCCACGGGCGCAGGCCGGCCACUGCCAAAAAUUACUUUAGAGAAAGCAAAAAACAAACAAAAAAAAGCUAUUUAUGUGUCAGUGAGCCGGCGGAAAUCAGCCGCGUUGAGCUUCUCCCCAGCCGGGCGGCGCUGGGGCAGGGAGAACUGGAAGGCAACAGUGAGAAGGACAACCAAGCCUGAACUCCCCGCAGAGAAUCAGAAGUCGGAUUUAGCUAAAUGUUCUUGCGGCUCGCCUUGUGGGCCGGCAGAACAGGCAGGAGGGAGUAGGAAAGAUCCGUAUCUGGGAGCCGGGCUGGUGGGGACACUCAGGGGUGAGCUCGGUAACUCAGACCGGCCGGGGAACCCCGACGCCCGGAAGGUGAAUCACCCCCAGCACCGUCUCUUCCCUACUUUCUCGUUGGGAAGAGGUCCGUGGCUACGGGGUUUAUAGCCAUGAGAAAGCUGCCGGUGGAGGGAAAGGGAGGCGGGCAGGGCUUUGCCCCGUGUGCUGCCCGAGCUGUGACACACGGGGAGGGACCCGGCGCGUCCAUCGGAAACAAUUGCGGGCGCGCAGAGCUCCGCGAUGACUCCCUCGGAGCCACCUGCCAGAGCCACUGCCGAGCUGUGAACCAGACGGUGUGUCACAGAGGAGCGGGGACAUGUCUGAGCGCUAGAAGACAGUUUUGUCUGAGAAGAGGAGGUGCCUCAGCUUCAUCUUCCCUUUGCACAGCGAGGAGGGCGAGACACAGCUGGCAUCUCAGGGAUGGCAGCAGCUCAGGGUGCGGCGAUUCCUCUCCCCUGCACGGGCCGGGUGUGCCCUCAAGGCUGCCAGGGAAAGGCGUCCUCUCAACACCCGGGCCAGGGAAGUCGAAUUCACCCCCGAAGUGCGGUCACCAAAUGCCCCGGGGAGGGGAAAAGGAGCGCCCCACAGCACCGGGCUCUGCUGCGCGCCCAGCCCAUGCCCUCUUCCCCUAGGCUAAAAAAAAGAGCAGGGCUGAGCCCGGUGCGAGUCAGGGCUGCCCACAGCCCCAGAGCCUGGCUCACGCCCCGCCGGCCGGCUGUGCUCGGGCCGCCUCGCUGCCAAGCGCCGCGGGGCACAGCCGGGCUGCGGGUCCGAGCCCGGAGAUUUAACCCCGUGUGGGGAGCGCUGGAGUUCGGCAGAAGGGAGAGAUCCUACCGGGAGAAGUGUGGCACCCAAGUUUACUGGGAAUGUUUAGCGGAAGGCCAACUUUAAAUCGAAUUAAUUCCCCACCCCUCUCGGCAAAGUAGUAAUAAAAGCUGGCAUUUUAAAUAAUCGUUACGGGGC
This is a long non-coding RNA of Junco hyemalis (dark-eyed junco), 1903 nucleotides long. The record is from Ensembl. Lineage: Eukaryota; Metazoa; Chordata; Aves; Passeriformes; Passerellidae.